ACUCAGCUGGGAGCAGAGGGGUUAGAGGGUUAGAGUGGUAACAGCCGGUCACAGCCUGUCCGACCCCCGACCGUGACCAGGACAGAGCAGGGGCGGGCGGCGCUGACGUCACAACUCAGCACACAGUAAUGUCCUGACUGUGCGCGGCUUUACCGCGGCCACCACGCCCCCCCACAUCGAGGGGAGGGUCACCACGGCCUCGCCCCCACAGGGACCAUGUCACUCAGGGCACUCAGCAGGGCACAGGGACAGGAGGGUGACACACGGGCCUGGUGUCACCAGCCACACACCCGCUGGGACUGAGCCCCUGUCUCUGUCGGAAUGUGUCACCAGUUUUGCUGUCUGAAGAUCCAGGAAGGAAGUAGCAGCUAAGACGGUCAUGGACAGGCAGUGAAGCCAGACACCUGGGAAGAAGGACGAGGAAGUACAGACUGCAAGAAUUUGAACACAGCCAUCCAGGCUGCAGUCAUGACAGCCUUCCCUUACCUGUGGUGGCCAGCUGUGCACACCUCCCCUGGAGAUUAGUCAACCUCUGUAGCUCACAGUGAGCCUGGACAACAGGAGCUUCUCACUACAUCAUCUGCUGUAGCACGAAUCUUAAAAGGUCUUAUUAAUAAAAACAAACCCAGUGCCAGUUAUUGGGAUGAACACUGGAAGAUCAGAGAAGCAGAACAAGCCACAGCCACCUCAUUUCACCAACUCCUCAGCUGAUCCUGUUUCCUCAAACUGGAAGCCUCUGUGUCCUCAUCUGAAUGGCUCUCAGCUGAACUACUGCUCAAAACCUAAAAGCUUAACCAGCCAAAUGCUUCUAGUUUCUGAUCUUCACGCCUUAUAUAUCUUUCUGCUUCCUGCCAUCACUCCCUGGGAUUAAAGGCUUACUUCUUGGGAUUAAA
Molecule: long non-coding RNA, 893 nt
Organism: Peromyscus eremicus (cactus mouse)
Lineage: Eukaryota; Metazoa; Chordata; Mammalia; Rodentia; Cricetidae
Exons: 2
Source: RefSeq, a predicted model, not a curated record